AUAGUUUCUUCUUGUUGCAAACAAAGGGAGCAUCGGUUAACAUGAUAGAUACCUCUUCUCUUAAUAUUAUCUAUUGUAGGUAGUUUAUUCAGAAGGGCCUGCCAUGUACAUAAGGAAUGUCUCUGUGAUCCCGGUCGAUCCCAUGUCCAACUGCUUGGGAGCCACUUGUUAUUUCUUUGCCUAAUUUGAUUCCAUGCGGAUGUGGCACUAAAUUUACCAUUGUCAUGAAGCCAAAUAAGUACAUCUGAAGGGUUGUUCCUGAUUGGAAUAGCUGUGAUAGUCGGCCAAAGUGAUAACAUUUCAGGAGAAAUAGGAGUAGGGAGACACUAGGUACCAUUAGCAAUGAACUCGGAAACCUUCCAAUCUUUGGGAGCCCCA
Molecule: long non-coding RNA, 378 nt
Filed under: Musa acuminata (dwarf banana)
Lineage: Eukaryota; Viridiplantae; Streptophyta; Magnoliopsida; Zingiberales; Musaceae
Description: long non-coding RNA (MACU_LNC001269)
Source: RNAcentral